Molecule: ribosomal RNA, 497 nt
Filed under: uncultured bacterium
Lineage: Bacteria
Description: partial 16S ribosomal RNA
Rfam family: Bacterial small subunit ribosomal RNA
Source: RNAcentral
GAUGAACGCUGGCGGCGUGCCUAAUACAUGCAAGUCGAGCGAACAGAUGAGGAGCUUGCUCCUCUGACGUUAGCGGCGGACGGGUGAGUAACACGUGGAUAACCUACCUAUAAGACUGGGAUAACUUCGGGAAACCGGAGCUAAUACCGGAUAAUAUAUUGAACCGCAUGGUUCAAUAGUGAAAGACGGUUUUGCUGUCACUUAUAGAUGGAUCCGCGCCGCAUUAGCUAGUUGGUAAGGUAACGGCUUACCAAGGCAACGAUGCGUAGCCGACCUGAGAGGGUGAUCGGCCACACUGGAACUGAGACACGGUCCAGACUCCUACGGGAGGCAGCAGUAGGGAAUCUUCCGCAAUGGGCGAAAGCCUGACGGAGCAACGCCGCGUGAGUGAUGAAGGUCUUCGGAUCGUAAAACUCUGUUAUUAGGGAAGAACAAAUGCGUAAGUAACUAUGCACGCCUUGACGGUACCUAAUCAGAAAGCCACGGCUAACUACGUG